GCGAACGCUGGCGGCAGGCCUAACACAUGCAAGUCGAACGAACUCUUCGGAGUUAGUGGCGGACGGGUGAGUAACACGUGGGAACGUGCCUUUUGGUUCGGAAUAACUCAGGGAAACUUGUGCUAAUACCGAAUGUGCCCUUCGGGGGAAAGAUUUAUCGCCAUUAGAGCGGUCCGCGUCUGAUUAGCUAGUUGGUGAGGUAACGGCUCACCAAGGCGACGAUCAGUAGCUGGUCUGAGAGGAUGACCAGCCACACUGGGACUGGGACACGGCCCAGACUCCUACGGGAGGCAGCAGUGGGGAAUCUUGCGCAAUGGGCGAAAGCCUGACGCAGCCAUGCCGCGUGAAUGAUGAAGGUCUUAGGAUUGUAAAAUUCUUUCACCGGGGACGAUAAUGACGGUACCCGGAGAAGAAGCCCCGGCUAACUUCGUG
Molecule: ribosomal RNA, 432 nt
Filed under: uncultured bacterium
Lineage: Bacteria
Description: partial 16S ribosomal RNA
Rfam family: Bacterial small subunit ribosomal RNA
Source: RNAcentral